GCUGGCGUAGCUCAGUUGGUAGAGCAUCUGAUUUGUAAUCAGAGGGUCGGGGGUUCAAAUCCCUCCGCCAGCUCCA
This 76-nucleotide transfer RNA is filed under the name Acidobacteriota bacterium. Its description in RNAcentral is "Acidobacteria bacterium (freshwater metagenome) tRNA-Thr". It matches the Rfam family "tRNA". From Rfam's summary of the family: Transfer RNA (tRNA) molecules are approximately 80 nucleotides in length. Their secondary structure includes four short double-helical elements and three loops (D, anti-codon, and T loops). The record is from RNAcentral. RNAcentral also lists the same sequence under 8 other names. Lineage: Bacteria; Pseudomonadati; Acidobacteriota.